Molecule: transfer RNA, 66 nt
Filed under: Pirellulaceae bacterium
Lineage: Bacteria; Pseudomonadati; Planctomycetota; Planctomycetia; Pirellulales; Pirellulaceae
Description: tRNA-OTHER
Rfam family: tRNA
About the family: Transfer RNA (tRNA) molecules are approximately 80 nucleotides in length. Their secondary structure includes four short double-helical elements and three loops (D, anti-codon, and T loops).
Source: RNAcentral
CCGCCCGGAUCUGAUCAAAUCGGUCUUCGGAACCGAGGGUUACAGGUUCGAAUCCUGUCGGGCGUG